This 71-nucleotide transfer RNA is filed under the name Amegilla calceifera. RNAcentral describes it as "tRNA-Leu". The record is from RNAcentral. Lineage: Eukaryota; Metazoa; Arthropoda; Insecta; Hymenoptera; Apidae.
GUUACUUUGGCAGAUAAGUGCAGUAAACUUAGAAUUUACUUAUAUAUACAUUAAAUAUUAUAUAAGUAACA